Molecule: long non-coding RNA, 1997 nt
Organism: Anarrhichthys ocellatus (wolf-eel)
Lineage: Eukaryota; Metazoa; Chordata; Actinopteri; Perciformes; Anarhichadidae
Exons: 2
Source: RefSeq, a predicted model, not a curated record
CAUGGUCAGGAGGAGGUCUGAGGAUCUCCAGGGAUUCACAUCUCCUUUUUCCCCCCAAAGUCUCUGAAAAGUCUCACAUUACAUAUCGAUCAGCUCAAUGAUUGGCGUUGACCUGUUGUUCUGAUCUUAACACCUCAAGCAGCCACUUUCACACAACCCCCGCUCCAGCACAUUCCUCAAAACCCCCCUCUUUCACUCAAUGCAUGAAAUGACAACACUCCUUGGUUCAAAACUUCCUUCAAAUAAAUAUACUGUGACACAUAAUAUCCAUAAUUAGGAGCGCUUUAAAACUUAAAUUCCUCACAAUUCCCCCCCUUACUCACUUUUCAAAGUGAGUAUAUUAAACAGUUGUAUCUAUCAAUGCAUCAUCUACUCAUAACUGGUUGUCCUGUAUAUUUGUCUCACUAAGUGUCAAUUAAAGUUGACGCGUGUUUCUGGUCCUAUGUACAUAGCUCACACCGACACCGCUCGUAGGUGAAAGCAAUAUGUGAUUUAUUGAUCCAAUUUCUCUCGUACAAGUUAGUGAAACAACUUCCUGUCUUCCUAAAGGUACGCCAAUUACCUCGACAAAGUUUAAGGAUCCACAGGUUAUCCACGAAUUGUUCCACAACAUAAUCCACAUAGCACGUUCCAUAUAACACGGUCGGAAAACUGUGCGGCUCCAUUCUGCUCUAGAUAUUACUAACAACCGUAACUAACUGUCGCAAAGUGUCCUUAAAGUGAUGGAAGUCUGUCACUUACGUGUAUUUCAUACCAUAACAAAUGAUAACAACAUCCUUGUAACAUUCAAAGUAGAAACAGAUGUGAUUAAAGUUAAACAUGUAAAUAUUUAAAUGCAAAUUGAAUUUGGCUCUUACAGGACCUUCGCCCCGCUCAGAAGCCAUCUUGCAAAUUUGUCAGUUUUUCGCUUUUUCAAGUAAAUUCAUGACUUAAAUCUUGGACAUUCUUCAUUUCGUUAGUUUGUUUUUCCCUACAUUGUCCUAACACGCUGUUGUACAUCUCUGUCGAACACAUUUUGUUGUCUCCCUCAGUACCGUAGUGUGCUGUCCAGCCUGUGUGUGGUUCUAUCAUUACAUCAUGGUCAUCGUAACGGGAGGCGUGGCAGUCCUCGCAGCUUUGGCACUCUGCUCCAUCCUCAUCUGGCCAAUCAGGAUCAGACCACGUGGUCUGCCACUCAUCUCUGAGGAUGAAUCCACAGUCAACUAACACCACCCUCCCCCAAAUUUCCCUACAACUGACACCUCAUCAGCACAACAGGGAAACAACUCUGGAGCGUUCAGCUGGAAGAACUCUCCCUUUAGUUUCUCUAUAAGAUUCUUCUUCUUUGGUUUUAGAGGUACCAGGGUAACUCCUGACUGACUGCUGGACUGGUGCACUUUGACCCUGAUAUUACAGGAGUAAACGGGGAAUCCACAGGAGCUGAGAAGAGACAUUGUAGUUCUAGCCAUUUUCAACAUAGGUCCUGUUUUCCCAAAAAAUGUUUCAUCUCAGUCUGGUAAUUAAAAUAAAUCUCCAAAAAGCUGAACUGGGAUAACUUGUGCUUGUGCCUCAUUGUGUUGGAUCAGUUAGACUCGUAUUCGGGAGGCUUCUCACUCAUGGAUCAAAUUAUUAUGAUGUGAUAUUAUUUCUAUUUUUAUUUGUUUUCUUGGUACAUUGUUUUACUUAGUUACAGACCAAAUGGAAUAUGGUUUUAAAGAUUAUUUUUAUAAUCAAAUAUAAAAUCACUUUAAAAGGGAUAAACCCUAAAAUAUGUGUAUUCAUACAAUAUAAUGUGAGGGAAUUCUACUGGUAAAUGAUCCGAACUGGCACUGGUGUUGAAGUCUUGUUCGACCGAUGGUGCCAAAGCGCUCUGUGACCUGCGUGAUAAUCAGUCAUCUCAGUGAUAACUUUGUUUUUAUUUCCUUUUUAUGUCUUUGUUGCUGCGGUGACUUCUCUGAUUCUCUGGUGUUUUGUGAAGAGAUGCUCAUUAAACAGAUUUCAUGAGGUGCAGCUGGAAA